RNAcentral lists this long non-coding RNA (6379 nucleotides) under Citrus sinensis (sweet orange). RNAcentral's name for it is "long non-coding RNA (CSIN_LNC000989)". Lineage: Eukaryota; Viridiplantae; Streptophyta; Magnoliopsida; Sapindales; Rutaceae. The record is from RNAcentral.
AGGGACUAACUAAUUCUGGAUAGGGAAAAUUUUGCUUACAUAUUGCAAGCAUUCAGUGGCUGUUUCCUCCCCCAUUUAAGGUGGCAAUAAGUGCUUUUAACUGAGGUGCCCGCUAGUUAGUAGAGUUUUCCCUCUAAACAAGUCUCAUAUGCAUGUGUUCACAACAUUCUUUUCAUUCAAGAGCUAACUAAGAAUAUACUUACUCAAACACAUGGACCACCUCUUUUAUGAGGAAAACAUACAACUUUAAACCAUUGCUUAUUGUCCAAGUAAUAUGGUUCAAAAGGAGACUAGGUCAUAAAUGGUAUAUUCAAUAUCAAUCUCAAUACUUAUUGGCAGGAUUCAAUCUCAAACCUCCUAUGCGAUCACAAGAAACUUCACACUACUGAGCUAGUUGAUACACCAAAAAGUUGUUUUCACAAGAACAUAUAUACACAAAACUAUGAAAAAAAUGUGAUGAUAAGCAUACAACAUUCAUGCUACAACCUCCCAAAUCUAAACAUACUAGUGUCAUAUUAAUACCAACAAAAUCACGGCAUACACAUGCUCAUAGAUGUCAAUUUGUAGUACAUACACACAUUUUGCUCAGAGGUUAGAGACACUAAGUUAAGAAGAGACCAAAAGGAAUGAUACAAGGUGACUUACCAAUGUCCCAUAUAAAGGAAUCUUGUGUGGAAUUUGUUCAGCACAAUUAAUAAUAUACUGCCAACAUGAAGAGUGUUAAAAAAAAUGAUAUUGUUUAACAAAAUAAUCCAUAAAACUGGAAACGAAGAAACCAAAUGAAAAAACUGAAACCUCCAAUAACAUACUAACACAAGCGUGCAAUCAAAUUUAAGUUCAUCUUCCAAUUUUCUAAAAAAUAAAACAAGAGGAUACAGUAGUUUCAAAAAUUUAGGCUUACAUGUGGAACAUCGUCAGAAGAGUGCUCGAGUUCUCGCCGAAUUACGCCGAAGCAUGUUUCCUGCAAAAGCAAGUUUCAGAAACAAAGAAUCAAACACACGUGCACUGCACAUGCUAGCAACGGAAAACGAAACCCCUAAAUAGGGUUUUUGACAAGACAGAAAAAAAAAUAGAAAAAAAAAGAUAGAAAAUGUGAAAGCGAAAGGAGAGUAAGAACGGACAAUGUGAUCCUUCAAGUCGUCGGAGUUGCCGUACUCCGGACAAUUGUCGCCGAUUUUAAGCAGAAGGUUCUUCCAGCUGCUCAUUUCUUAAUCUCUUGUUCCGUGAGAGAAGCAGAAGCAGAGGAAGAGGAAGAGCCAGCAGUUUAGUAAGAAGAAGGGGAUUUGCAGGGUUUUGUGGCAAAUUGGAUUCCAAUUAACUUGAACCCUAACGGAGCCGGUCCAGCCCGGUUGGAACUUACCCAGAAUAUUUAUAAAAUAGUUUUUAGGUAAACAAAAUAAACCAGAGAAGCAUAAGGGGCACAAGUGCACAACAAUGUUGGACAAGCCACGUAUGGAAGGGCAGCGUUUGUGGAUGGUAAAUGGGCUGGCCGAUUCGGACUUUCAGGUUAGCUGGGGCAGGCUUAAUUCAGACACGGUCCAGGGUCGGGUCGGGACGGAAUUUAGCCCAGGCUUGCAUGUCGAAUUUUUUCAGAAUGUUUCAAAUUUAUUUAUUAUUUUUUAAAUAAAAAAGUUCAGUGCUUCCUCUGCUUCCCAACAAUGCCAAAGCAACAGCAACAACAACAACUAACCCAUUUUAGUUUCUCUGAUAUCUUCAAAUCUUUCACCUUUUUUUUUUUUUUUUAACAAAAGGCAUUAGGAUUUUCUCCUUAUAUAUCUUUAGUUUUUAAAGCUGAUGAAUGCUGGCCGUUGGAUUCAGCCAAAUGGAAGGCACACUACCAAAAAUCCAGGAGUGCUGGUAAGAAAAUAUAUUUUAUAUGUGCAGUACAUUCACACUUAAUCGCAAUUUUUAAGUUAAAGUUUUGAAUAAAAUCGUGUGAAAUCAAGCAUAAUAGAUGACGUGCCAUUUGUUCAUAAAAGUAGAAAUGUCACGCUGACUACGCAAUUUCAGGAGGAGUGACAUGUCUUUCAGAGAGAAUGACAAACGAUGAGUCAGCUACGCAUGUCGGCUACGUUAACCGUGAAGGACGACAUGCUGUAUGAAACCUCGUUAAGUGAAGACUCGUCGUCUUCGUAUUUACUUAGUGGAUGACUCGUCGUGUCCGUCUCGGUAUGUGUGCGUGUAUAUUUUUUAUUGACUUCUUUUGAUUUUUAUUAAACAUAUAAUAUACGACAUGCCAUUCAUGCUAUAAACCUUUAGACAACAUGCCGUCCAAUAUAAUACACGAAAAUAAGGUUUUAUUUAGGUAAAAUAACAUGGUUUACUGGGGAAAUAGAUGUUAAAAGCAUGCAAAUUCGGCGAUUAGUCGGAAAUUGUUAAUUUUUUCUUACGAUAAUUAUAAUUUUGACAGAACAAUCACCACAUUAAACAACCUAAAAAUAUAAACUGAAUUGAUUUCAACGAGAAUAAGAGAAAAAUAUAUAUAUAAUGAGAUACGCGGGCAACUAGAGAAAUUGGGGGUUGAGAUAACAAUAAUUUAAUCUUUAAAGCCGAUGAAUGCUGGCCGUUGGAUUCGGCCAUUGGCUAAUAUUGAAUUUUGAUAUAAUAUAUAUAAUGUAUAUAUUUCAUUUUUAGAGAAAUGAGAACAGUAUCCGGGGAACUCGAACAAAUGGCUUCAACCUUCUGCACCACUAACCCACUGUUACAAGGCCAAAAUGAAAAAUCUCUCAUAGCUUUGCAAUAAUUGCUUGUGGGUUCAAAUAUGGUAAUAUGCAAUCUGAUCUCAUAUGGGUUUCAAUUUGCUUCAGUUAGUUGCAGUUUGUCUGGUGAGAGAGAGAGCAUUUUCGGGGGGUCCCAACAUAUUCUGAAACAAUUGUUUGGGCAUGUGAAUUUGCACAUGCAAAAUGGCCCCAUUUGAUUUAUAAGCGCACAUGGAUGAGAUAAGAGCCCUAACAGCCCCACCACUACUUUAAAACAAGGAAAAAAGCUAAUUACCAAAAACUUUAUAGCAACUGCACUAUAAGUACCAUUCACUUCCUUCAGAACUUUUCACACCCAACUCCCUCAUCACUCAAAUCCACUUCAAGCUCUUAUCGUUGUGUUGUUUCUUCUCCAAAGAAUAAUGGCUAGAAUGCUGAGAAUUGUCGUGUUAUUUGUGGCAUUGAUGGUUGUUUUAGUGGCACAAAACCAGGUAAGUUGCUUAUGCAGCAUAUUCUUUGGAUUAUCAAAAGUUCAUUACUUAUUUUUUCCUUUUUACUUUUUUUACUUUCUAAGUAACUCUCACUGAAUAAGAAAAAUUUAUUAGAAAGAAACAAAAAAUGAAUGAAUAAAUAAAUAAUUCCGGACGAUAUGAUGAACUGAUCUUGUUAUCUCAUAGAAUAGAAUUAAAUCCGGGGAAAAACAAAAAUUCAUGAUUGUAUGUAUAGCAUGGUAGUAUGGUAUAAUAUGCAUUUUUUUUUCUAUAAAAGGGAAUUUGUGUAUGAAAUCAAAUUGUUCAAGAACUCUUUGAUAUUAGUUCCAAAAAUUAGCUAAAAUGCACUGAAAUUUGAAGCUUAUAGCUAAGUGGGAUUCAAAUACAGAUAUAAAGUAAACAAAAGUUAGAAAAAAAAAAGGGGUAGAAAAAUUGAACUUAAAACAGACAUGCUCAUAAUGCAGAUAUAUGCAAAAUCGCAGCUUACCUUCUAAUACUAAUCAAAAUUAAACUGAAAAGGACAGAACACUGAAAGAGGACCACAAAUUGUACAACUCCUGUUAAAUUAUUAAUUAUCAUAAUUAUUGGUUGUUACCGCUGCUUCUCUUUAAUUUUUUUUUUGUUUGAUUUUUAUUUUCUUAUUUGAAAUUAAUAUUUUCAAUUUGUUUUCUUUAGGCUGCGGGCACAGGAAUUGCCGCACCUCAGCUACAGCCACAAGGCAAUCGCCCUGCGGUAAUUUCAACUCAUAAAGUGCUUCUAAAUAAGUAGCCUCUCUUCAUUUUGGCUUAACUCUUUUAAAUUCAUUGGACUCCAUGCAGCGUGGCACCACCCAAGGGAGCCUUAAUCCUCAAGGUAAUUUAUUUUGCACAUCAAACUUAUAAUCCGGAAUAAGGAUUUAGUAAUGAGUUGAAUUUUUAUUGAGCACUGAAUCAAUAAUUAUUAGGUAAGAGAAAUAAAAAUAAAUAAAAAAUCAAAAUAAAUCUUAAUAAUUAAUUCAAUGAUUAGUCAAAAAAAAAAGUUCCAACACUGAAUUCUAAUUCUAUAAUCUUAUAUGUAAAACUUAAAAUUACCAUUUACGUUAAAAUGGAAAACAGGCGUCGAUAUACUUCCUAGUAGCUAAUUAUCAAAAGGUGAUUUUUAAUAUGCAGAAUGUGCUCCAAAAUGCGAUUAUAGAUGCUCAGCAACUUCAUACAAGAAGCCGUGCCUGUUUUUCUGCCAAAAAUGUUGUGCAAAGUGCUUAUGUGUGCCGGCAGGCACAAAUGGGAACAAGCAAACGUGCCCUUGCUACAACAACUGGAAGACAAAGAGAGGAGGACCAAAAUGCCCUUGAAUUAAUAGUAUCAGUUUAUAGUAAUAAAAUUCUCUAUCGACACUAAUCAGUUAUAUAUUUCCUAUAAUGCUUAUUUUGCUAUUGUAGCCAAUCUUUCUUGUGCUCGUAUAUAUAGCAAGCACAAGUAAUGCAUUUUUCAAUCAAUUAUAGAAUAUAAUCUUGGUCUAAUUAUUCAAGGGCAUAAUUACUUACUAAACUAGAUAAACCACUUUUACCUAACAGAUAAAUAUUUUUAUGGGUUAUUAUCAUUUCAAUUUUACCUAACAGAUAAAUUGACAGACAAGUUAACACUGAAUUCAAUAUAAAGGAUCAUAACUUCAACUCAUCGGGCAGGGGUGAGGUCUUGAAUUCUUCAACUCGUGGCAUAAUUUCAAUUAAAUUCACAGGAUAACAGCUUAAAUAAUGAAUGCAAUUUUAUGGUUUUUUUUUCAGUCUAGUGGCGCCACUCGGUCAUAUUCAUUAUGUCCGUUAGAUUUUACUGUUGCAAAUCCAACGGUGACUACAGAACCAGAAAGAAAUGGCUGCCCCUUUCUCACCGUUAGUUAGGGCCCAAUUAUAGCAAAAGUUUCUUCCAAUAUGACACGCGUCCAAUUUCAUAAACAAAACAUUUGAUUUUUUGAGAAUAAAAUUUUGAACCGAAUUGGAACAAUUUUUCUUUUUUUUUGACAAUCGACUUUUGGGUUUUUCAUUUUUUGUGAAAAAAUUGCAAAAUCGCAGCAAACUGAUAGUUUUCAAUUUCGCUUCGAUUAUGCCAAUCCUUUGGUUAACCUUUUUUUUUUGGUAAACAACUAAAAGUCUAAAACGUUACGUAUCUGUUUAGUUUCUUUCAUUAUUAUCGUUAUUUUGUUUCCUAAAAUGAUAUAAAACUGAUUUGUCCUUACACAAUUACAGAUAUUAAAAUAAAUGGAGAAGAAUUCUUGGUAGUACUUGCCAACCAGGAAGAACUGUUAUUCACUUUGAUAAUGACUAAUAAUUAAUAAACCUUCUAAAUAUGAAAAAAGGAAAUGGAUUGAAGGAUAAGGCUCAAUAAUCAGCCAGAAGAUUUUAAACAUUUUUCUACCUUUUUAGUCAAUCAGAUUAAAAAAAUACUCCAACGAAAGAUUAUUAUUCAAACUUGAUUAUCCUAAUUUGCCAAAGUACGUACCUAACUCCCUCACAUUCAAAUUAAUUAAAAUUGACUAAUUGAGCCCUCCAACUCCCCUUUCUCUCUAUAUAUAGCUCGAAUAAUAUCAAAGCUUUAACAUAAUUAGUUGCGUAACAAGAUUUUGACAAAGAAAAAUUAAUAUAGCCACAGUGUUCAGAAAAGAUAUGGCUUCUUUGGUUACUCGUUUGGUGUUGGCCAUGGUGGUGAUUGCCGGAACCCUAAUGUUCGGCAACGUUCGGGUGUCGGCGCAAUGCGGAGGAAGUAUCCCUCAACUUGUUGCCCAAUGCUCGCAGUUCGUCAAAAAAGAGGGACCACAAAUCCCUCCGUCCUCCGGUUGCUGUUCUGCGGUGAAAGCUGCUGACGUCCCUUGUGUUUGCGCCCUCGUUACGCCGGCUAUAGAGAAGAUUAUCAGCAUGGAGAAGGUGGUCUACGUAGCUCGUACUUGUGGCGUCACGGUUAAACCCGGCACAAAAUGUGGAAGUGAGUUUCUUUGUUGAAACCCUAAUCAAACUUCUAGUACGUACCAUGUGUGUACACAUGCAUGUUUUUAUCAUAUACUUACGGAUUUUUUUUUUUUUGAAAUCACGAUUUCGAUAUUUCAGGCUACACGGUUCCACCAAAAAGACUGAUAUAAGAUCGAGGUGUUGGCUAGAGCUGCAAAAAACUAAAUGUUGUUACAUUAAUUUCCCUUUGAAUAAUGAGAAAUGUGAUAAUU